UGGGGAAUAUUGCACAAUGGGCGCAAGCCUGAUGCAGCCAUGCCGCGUGUAUGAAGAAGGCCUUCGGGUUGUAAAGUACUUUCAGCGGGGAGGAAGGUGUUGUGGUUAAUAACCACAGCAAUUGACGUUACCCGCAGAAGAAGCACCAGCUAACUCCGUGCCAGCAGCCGCGGUAAUACGGAGGGUGCAAGCGUUAAUCGGAAUUACUGGGCGUAAAGCGCACGCAGGCGGUCUGUCAAGUCGGAUGUGAAAUCCCCGGGCUCAACCUGGGAACUGCAUCCGAAACUGGCAGGCUUGAGUCUUGUAGAGGGGGGUAGAAUUCCAGGUGUAGCGGUGAAAUGCGUAGAGAUCUGGAGGAAUACCGGUGGCGAAGGCGGCCCCCUGGACAAAGACUGACGCUCAGGUGCGAAAGCGUGGGGAGCAAACA
Molecule: ribosomal RNA, 427 nt
Filed under: uncultured bacterium
Lineage: Bacteria
Description: partial 16S ribosomal RNA
Rfam family: Bacterial small subunit ribosomal RNA
Source: RNAcentral